UGGGCUUGAGCCAUGACUUGUUCACUUCCUGGACAUAUGAUUCUGGAUAAAUCAUGGCAGGAGCUCAGCCCCCAUGGGUUAGGCGUGACCACUGCUGUAGAAACUGGAGGCAUACUUUGCUUUGACUGCUGCUGACAGGCUCACCUUCCACCAUGACGGUAAGCUGACUGGUCACUGCCUCCCUCAUUAACUCUUUCUACUUCAUACGAUUAAAUAUCUUUGCCUGGGGCUGCUCAAAAUAAGCCUGUUCCUUCCGUUCCUGCUUAACAUGAUUUGGGAAGAAAAAGGUGGGUCUAAAUUCUCCCUAAAACCCAGGAGUUCCUGCCGGCUUUUUCUUGUAGAAAUACAAGGAGUUCUGCUACCCGCAUAAGAAGCUUCUAAGACAAUACUAAAAGAGAGGAAUUCAAAAUGUUCAUCUUUGGAGGAGGGAAAGCAAUGUUCCCAAAAAUGAAGAAACCUGAAUUCUAACCUGGCUCUGACACUCCUGCUCUGCAGCUUCUGAGAAGUCAUUUGCCUCUGGAGGCUUCAGUGUUCCCUUUUGUAAAAUGGGAGCAAUUGAAUAAGAGUGUCCCUUAACUUUUCCAGACUUAACAUUAAAAGACCGAAUGUGAUCACUAAGAAGGACUAGAUUAUUUUAAGAAUCUUAGUGUAUAGUGUCA
This 659-nucleotide long non-coding RNA is filed under the name Homo sapiens (human). RNAcentral's name for it is "HSALNT0223437". The record is from RNAcentral. Lineage: Eukaryota; Metazoa; Chordata; Mammalia; Primates; Hominidae.